This 508-nucleotide ribosomal RNA is filed under the name uncultured bacterium. RNAcentral's name for it is "partial 16S ribosomal RNA". It matches the Rfam family "Bacterial small subunit ribosomal RNA", at positions 28 to 523 of the family's 1533-position model. The record is from RNAcentral.
GAUGAACGCUAGCUACAGGCUUAACACAUGCAAGUCGAGGGGAAACGAUAUUGGAAGCUUGCUUCCGAUAGGCGUCGACCGGCGCACGGGUGAGUAACGCGUAUCCAACCUGCCCAUCACUUGGGGAUAACCUUGCGAAAGUAAGACUAAUACCCAAUGACGUCUCUAGAAGACAUCCGAAAGAGAUUAAAGAUUUAUCGGUGAUGGAUGGGGAUGCGUCUGAUUAGCUUGUUGGCGGGGUAACGGCCCACCAAGGCGACGAUCAGUAGGGGUUCUGAGAGGAAGGUCCCCCACAUUGGAACUGAGACACGGUCCAAACUCCUACGGGAGGCAGCAGUGAGGAAUAUUGGUCCAUGGACGAGAGUCUGAACCAGCCAAGUAGCGUGCAGGAUGACGGCCCUAUGGGUUGUAAACUGCUUUUAUAAGGGAAUAAAGUGAGAGUCGUGGCUCUUUUUGCAUGUACCUUAUGAAUAAGGACCGGCUAAUUCCGUGCCAGCCGCCGCCGUAA